This 424-nucleotide RNase P RNA is filed under the name Erythrobacter sp. RNAcentral's name for it is "RNase P RNA component class A". It matches the Rfam family "Bacterial RNase P class A". From Rfam's summary of the family: Ribonuclease P (RNase P) is a ubiquitous endoribonuclease, found in archaea, bacteria and eukarya as well as chloroplasts and mitochondria. Its best characterised activity is the generation of mature 5'-ends of tRNAs by cleaving the 5'-leader elements of precursor-tRNAs. The record is from RNAcentral. Lineage: Bacteria; Pseudomonadati; Pseudomonadota; Alphaproteobacteria; Sphingomonadales; Erythrobacteraceae.
UCAGGGGGCCUGAGGCAGCCGCGUGUCGCAAGACGCGAGGAAAGUCCGGGCUCCACGAAACAAGGGUGGCGGGUAACGCCCGCCGGCGUUCCUUCGGGGGCGCAAGGGAAAGUGCCACAGAGAGCAAACCGCCGAUGGUUUCCCCGAAAGGGGCGCACAGGCAAGGGUGAAAGGGUGCGGUAAGAGCGCACCGGGGGGCUGGCAACAGCAACCGCAUGGCAAACCCCACCCGGAGCAAGGCCGAAUAGGGGCCGCGCGCCCGCCGCAAGGCAGGGUAGGGGUGUUUCGCCCCGAGCGGCCCGGGUUGGCUGCUAGAGCGCCGGAGCAAUCCGGCGACCAGAUGAAUGGCUGCCACCGCAGGCCCGUCCCGCAAGGGAUACCGCCUGAGGAUACAGAACCCGGCUUAUGAUGGCCCCCUGACGUU